Molecule: ribosomal RNA, 251 nt
Filed under: uncultured Lactobacillus sp.
Lineage: Bacteria; Bacillati; Bacillota; Bacilli; Lactobacillales; Lactobacillaceae
Description: partial 16S ribosomal RNA
Rfam family: Bacterial small subunit ribosomal RNA
Source: RNAcentral
AGUGGCGGACGGGUGAGUAACACGUGGGUAACCUGCCCAGAAGUGGGGGAUAACAUUUGGAAACAAGUGCUAAUACCGCAUAACAACUUAGAUCACAUGAUCUUUGUUUAAAAGAUGGUUUUGCUAUCUCUUCUGGAUGGACCCGCGGCGUAUUAGCUAGUUGGUGAGGUAAUAGCUCACCAAGGCGAUGAUACGUAGCCGACCUGAGAGGGUAAUCGGCCACAUUGGGACUGAGACACGGCCCAAACUCC